CCCUUAGAUGUUCUGGGCCGCACGCGUGUUACACUGAGUGGAUCAGCGGGUCAGGUUGCGCGAAAGUGUUUCCUAAUCUUGAAAUCCGCUCGUGAUGGGGAUUGACGGUUGCAAUUUUCCGUCAUGAACGAGGAAUACCUUGUAAGCGCGGGUCAUCAUCCCGCGCUGAAUACGUCCCUGCCCUUUGUACACACCGCCCGUCGCUCCUACCGAUUGAGUGGUCCGGUGAGGCUUUGGGAUCUGAGCGGAAAGAGCGUUUCGCUGUUUCUGCUCGGAAAACUCAGUCGAACCUUAUCAUUUAGAGGAAGGAGAAGGCGGAACA
Molecule: ribosomal RNA, 322 nt
Filed under: uncultured eukaryote
Lineage: Eukaryota
Description: partial 18S ribosomal RNA
Rfam family: Eukaryotic small subunit ribosomal RNA
Source: RNAcentral